This 207-nucleotide ribosomal RNA is filed under the name uncultured bacterium. Its description in RNAcentral is "partial 16S ribosomal RNA". It matches the Rfam family "Bacterial small subunit ribosomal RNA", at positions 568 to 774 of the family's 1533-position model. The record is from RNAcentral.
UGCGCAGGCGGUUCGAUAAGUCAGAGGUGAAAUCUGCCGGCUUAACCGGCAAAUUGCCUCUGAAACUGUCGUGCUUGAGUCCGAGAGAGGAAAGUGGAAUUCCUGGUGUAGCGGUGAAAUGCGUAAAUAUCAGUAGGAACACCGGUGGCGAAGGCGACUUUCUGGCUCGGUACUGACGCUGAGGCACGAAAGCUAGGGGAGCGAACG